Molecule: long non-coding RNA, 93 nt
Organism: Etheostoma cragini (Arkansas darter)
Lineage: Eukaryota; Metazoa; Chordata; Actinopteri; Perciformes; Percidae
Exons: 3
Source: RefSeq, a predicted model, not a curated record
AGGACUACAGUGUUUUUCAUCAUAGACCAGAUGACAGACUAUGUGGAUUCUUGACAGUAAAAGAUUACUUUUAUUAUAAACUGUUUUUUAAGC